UACCUGCAGCUCGAGUGGUAACCGCUAUUAUUGGGCCUAAAGCGUCCGUAGCCGGUUUGGUAAAUAUCUGGGUAAAUCGUGAGGCUUAACUUCACGAAUUUCGGAUAGACUGCCAGACUUGGGAUCGGGGGAGGUCAGAGGUACUCCAGGGGUAGCGGUGAAAUGUUGUAAUCCUUGGAGGACCACCGGUAGCGAAGGCGUCUGACUAGAACGAGUCCGACGGUGAGGGACGAAGCCCUGGGGGCGCAAACCGGAUUAGAUACCCGGGUAGUCCAGGGUGUAAACGAUGUGGGCUUUGUAUUGGAGGUCCCACGUGGGCGUCCAGUGCAGAAGAGAAGCUGUUAAGCCCACCGCCUGGGAAGUACGGUCGCAAGGCUGAAACUUAAGGAAUUGGCGGGGAGCACAGCAACGGGAGGAGCGUGCGGUUU
This 428-nucleotide ribosomal RNA is filed under the name uncultured archaeon. RNAcentral's name for it is "bacterial SSU rRNA". It matches the Rfam family "Archaeal small subunit ribosomal RNA", at positions 474 to 903 of the family's 1478-position model. The record is from RNAcentral.